RNAcentral lists this unclassified non-coding RNA (310 nucleotides) under plant metagenome. Its description in RNAcentral is "partial contains 5.8S ribosomal RNA, internal transcribed spacer 2, and large subunit ribosomal RNA". The stretch from base 1 to 105 matches the Rfam family "5.8S ribosomal RNA", at positions 50 to 154 of the family's 154-position model. The record is from RNAcentral.
GAAAUGCGAUAAGUAGUGUGAAUUGCAGAAUUCAGUGAAUCAUCGAAUCUUUGAACGCACAUUGCGCCCCUUGGUAUUCCCUGGGGCAUGCCUGUUCGAGCGUCAUUUGUACCCUCAAGCUCUGCUUGGUGUUGGGUGUUUGUCCCCGUCUCCGCGCGUGGACUCGCCCCAAAGUGAUUGGCAGCCGGCGUACUGGUCCCGGAGCGCAGCACAUGUCGCGCAAACGAGUGCCUUGGUACGGCGGCGUCCAUAAGCCCCUCUCUCACGCUCUUGACCUCGGAUCAGGUAGGGAUACCCGCUGAACUUAAGC